GCCAGUGUGGUGUAGUGGUUUGAGUGCUGGCUUAUAGCUCCAGAGACUAGGGUUCAAAUUCCCACUUGGCC
Molecule: non-coding RNA, 71 nt
Organism: Phrynosoma platyrhinos (Desert horned lizard)
Lineage: Eukaryota; Metazoa; Chordata; Lepidosauria; Squamata; Phrynosomatidae
Source: the annotation of a GenBank genome assembly